GAGGAAGAAGAAAAUUGAGAUCAUUUGUACAAAUCUUGAAACCAAAGCACAGCCUGUAUGAACCCAUGUUGAACCCUGGACUUUCAGGACUACUGUAUGGCUAACCACAGCCCUGCAAGGCCAGGCUCAGCAUGUCACAGUUUUGCCACUGAACAAGAAUCUUUCGAAGGAUCGCAAAUACUACAUGGAAAAUGACUGUAUUCUUUCUGCAAGGCCACUCUCUUAGACAUCACCCUAACAAAAACAAUUACGGGUUGGAAGAGGAGA
Molecule: long non-coding RNA, 267 nt
Filed under: Homo sapiens (human)
Lineage: Eukaryota; Metazoa; Chordata; Mammalia; Primates; Hominidae
Description: non-protein coding LINC01229:13
Source: RNAcentral